RNAcentral lists this transfer RNA (90 nucleotides) under Trichosporon asahii var. asahii CBS 8904. RNAcentral describes it as "tRNA-Val". The record is from RNAcentral. Lineage: Eukaryota; Fungi; Basidiomycota; Tremellomycetes; Trichosporonales; Trichosporonaceae.
GGCCACUUAGCUCAGUUGGUUAGAGCGUAUGCUUAACAUCUCGUAACAGAUUUACGCAUAAGGUCGGCGGUUCGACCCCGCCAGAGGUCA